AUACGGAGGGUGCAAGCGUUAAUCGGAAUUACUGGGCGUAAAGCGCGCGUAGGCGGUUUGAUAAGUCGGAUGUGAAAUCCCCGGGCUCAACCUGGGAAUUGCAUUCGAUACUGUCAGGCUAGAGUGUGGGAGAGGGAAGUGGAAUUUCCGGUGUAGCGGUGAAAUGCGUAGAUAUCGGAAGGAACACCAGUGGCGAAGGCGGCUUCCUGGACCAACACUGACGCUGAGGUGCGAAAGCGUGGGGAGCAAACAGGAUUAGAAACCCCAGUAGUCC
RNAcentral lists this ribosomal RNA (274 nucleotides) under uncultured bacterium. RNAcentral's name for it is "partial 16S ribosomal RNA". It matches the Rfam family "Bacterial small subunit ribosomal RNA", at positions 523 to 796 of the family's 1533-position model. The record is from RNAcentral.